RNAcentral lists this ribosomal RNA (497 nucleotides) under uncultured bacterium. RNAcentral's name for it is "partial 16S ribosomal RNA". It matches the Rfam family "Bacterial small subunit ribosomal RNA", at positions 28 to 507 of the family's 1533-position model. The record is from RNAcentral.
GAUGAACGCUGGCGGCGUGCCUAAUACAUGCAAGUCGAGCGAACAGAUGAGGAGCUUGCUCCUCUGACGUUGGCGGCGGACGGGUGAGUAACACGUGGAUAACCUACCUAUAAGACUGGGAUAACUUCGGGAAACCGGAGCUAAUACCGGAUAAUAUAUUGAACCGCAUGGGGCAAUAGUGAAAGACGGUUUUGCGGUCACUUAUAGAUGGAUCCGCGCCGCAUUAGCUAGUUGUUAAGGUAACGGCUUACCAAGGCAACGAGGCGUAGCCGACCUGAGAGGGUGAUCGGCGACACUGGAACUGAGACACGGUCCAGACUCCUACGGGAGGCAGCAGUAGGGAAUCUUCCGCAAUGGGCGAAAGCCUGACGGAGCAACGCCGCGUGAGUGAUGAAGGUCUUCGGAUCGUAAAACUCUGUUAUUAGGGAAGAACAAAUGUGUAAGUAACUAUGCACGUAUUGACGGUAACUAAUCAGAAAGCCACGGCUAACUACGUG